RNAcentral lists this ribosomal RNA (750 nucleotides) under uncultured Bacilli bacterium. RNAcentral's name for it is "bacterial SSU rRNA". It matches the Rfam family "Bacterial small subunit ribosomal RNA", at positions 50 to 774 of the family's 1533-position model. Lineage: Bacteria; Bacillati; Bacillota; Bacilli. The record is from RNAcentral.
AAUACAUGCAAGUCGACGCUUUUCUUUCACCGGAGCUUGCUCCACCGAAAGAAAAGGAGUGGCGAACGGGUGAGUAACACGUGGGUAACCUGCCCAUCAGAAGGGGAUAACACUUGGAAACAGGUGCUAAUACCGUAUAACAAUCGAAACCGCAUGGUUUCGGUUUGAAAGGCGCUUUUGCGUCACUGAUGGAUGGACCCGCGGUGCAUUAGCUAGUUGGUGAGGUAACGGCUCACCAAGGCAACGAUGCAUAGCCGACCUGAGAGGGUGAUCGGCCACAUUGGGACUGAGACACGGCCCAAACUCCUACGGGAGGCAGCAGUAGGGAAUCUUCGGCAAUGGACGGAAGUCUGACCGAGCAACGCCGCGUGAGUGAAGAAGGUUUUCGGAUCGUAAAACUCUGUUGUUAGAGAAGAACAAGGAUGAGAGUAGAAUGUUCAUCCCUUGACGGUAUCUAACCAGAAAGCCACGGCUAACUACGUGCCAGCAGCCGCGGUAAUACGUAGGUGGCAAGCGUUGUCCGGAUUUAUUGGGCGUAAAGCGAGCGCAGGCGGUUUCUUAAGUCUGAUGUGAAGGCCCCCGGCUCAACCGGGGAGGGUCAUUGGAAACUGGGAAACUUGAGUGCAGAAGAGGAGAGUGGAAUUCCAUGUGUAGCGGUGAAAUGCGUAGAUAUAUGGAGGAACACCAGUGGCGAAGGCGGCUCUCUGGUCUGUAACUGACGCUGAGGCUCGAAAGCGUGGGGAGCAAACA